AUUUGCAGACAGCCAGGCUCUCAAAGAUUGGUGGAUAUUACUUAAAGAGCUGUUUAAGCACCAUCAUGGACAGGUUCAUGACAAAUGAAUUAAUGUCCAAUCUGAACAUGAAGGGGAGAGGGGGAAAAAAAUAGCUUUGCCGAGACGAAGCUGCUCGAUUUAGUCACAGCUAGUGUCUUGGAUACCCAGAAGGGGACCGAAACGAUGGUCCAUGAUGCCAUAAAAAAUAAACUGAAAUAUGCCCCUGGACGGAAGGGAGGAAUAAGAUGGGCAUCACAGGCUAAAUAAAUAAUUAUAUCGAUUG
Nerophis ophidion (straightnose pipefish) is the source of this 304-nucleotide long non-coding RNA. RefSeq lists it as uncharacterized. NCBI's taxonomy places the organism in Eukaryota, Metazoa, Chordata, Actinopteri, Syngnathiformes, Syngnathidae. The record is from RefSeq and is a predicted model, not a curated record. The transcript has 3 exons.